RNAcentral lists this ribosomal RNA (481 nucleotides) under uncultured bacterium. Its description in RNAcentral is "partial 16S ribosomal RNA". It matches the Rfam family "Bacterial small subunit ribosomal RNA", at positions 28 to 507 of the family's 1533-position model. The record is from RNAcentral.
GAUGAACGCUGGCGGCGUGCCUAACACAUGCAAGUCGAACGGAGAUUACGGACGGAAGUUUUCGGAUGGAAGCCUGUAAUUCUUAGUGGCGGACGGGUGAGUAACGCGUGGGCAACCUGCCCUAUACAGGGGGAUAGCAGCUGGAAACGGCUGGUAAGACCGCAUAAGUCGGUUAAAUCGCAUGAUUUGAUCGGGAAAUGAGCAAUCAGGUAUAGGAUGGGCCCGCGUCCGAUUAGCCAGUUGGCGGGGUAAAAGCCUACCAAAGCGACGAUCGGUAGCCGGACUGAGAGGUCGGACGGCCACAUUGGGACUGAGACACGGCCCAAACUCCUACGGGAGGCAGCAGUGGGGGAUAUUGCACAAUGGAGGAAACUCUGAUGCAGCGACGCCGCGUGAGUGAAGAAGUAUUUCGGUAUGUAAAGCUCUAUCAGCAGGGAAGAUGAUGACGGUACCUGACGAAGAAGCCCCGGCUAACUACGUG